UGUUAAAAAUUUCAUCCAUUUGUUUCGUGAAAAACUGGCGUGGUUGACAAAAUAACCAAAAAGUAACAUAUGACAUGUCACUUGUACCUCAUUCUGACGUAAAAUGAGUAAUUUGUAACAAUAAAAAUAGAUGAAAUUUUAACA
Non-coding RNA from Gossypium arboreum, 144 nucleotides. NCBI's taxonomy places the organism in Eukaryota, Viridiplantae, Streptophyta, Magnoliopsida, Malvales, Malvaceae. The record is from Rfam.